RNAcentral lists this small RNA (107 nucleotides) under Ochotona princeps (American pika). Its description in RNAcentral is "7SK RNA (ENSOPRG00000024052.1)". Lineage: Eukaryota; Metazoa; Chordata; Mammalia; Lagomorpha; Ochotonidae. The record is from RNAcentral.
AGGGUAUACGAGUAGCUGCGCUCCCCUGCUAGAACCUCCAAACAAGCUCUCAAGGAUGAAAAAUGGAAAUUCAUAGGACCAAGAAGUGACAAUGCUGGAGAGACAGU